RNAcentral lists this ribosomal RNA (725 nucleotides) under uncultured bacterium. RNAcentral's name for it is "bacterial SSU rRNA". It matches the Rfam family "Bacterial small subunit ribosomal RNA", at positions 771 to 1501 of the family's 1533-position model. The record is from RNAcentral.
AACAGGAUUAGAUACCCUGGUAGUCCACGCCCUAAACGAUGUCUACUAGUUGUCGGGUUUUAAUUAACUUGGUAACGCAGCUAACGCGUGAAGUAGACCGCCUGGGGAGUACGGUCGCAAGAUUAAAACUCAAAGGAAUUGACGGGGACCCGCACAAGCGGUGGAUGAUGUGGAUUAAUUCGAUGCAACGCGAAAAACCUUACCUACCCUUGACAUGUCAGGAAUCCCGAAGAGAUUUGGGAGUGCUCGAAAGAGAACCUGAACACAGGUGCUGCAUGGCUGUCGUCAGCUCGUGUCGUGAGAUGUUGGGUUAAGUCCCGCAACGAGCGCAACCCUUGUCAUUAGUUGCUACGCAAGAGCACUCUAAUGAGACUGCCGGUGACAAACCGGAGGAAGGUGGGGAUGACGUCAAGUCCUCAUGGCCCUUAUGGGUAGGGCUUCACACGUCAUACAAUGGUACAUACAGAGGGCCGCCAACCCGCGAGGGGGAGCUAAUCCCAGAAAGUGUAUCUUAGUCCGGAUUGUAGUCUGCAACUCGACUACAUGAAGUUGGAAUCGCUAGUAAUCGCGGAUCAGCAUGUCGCGGUGAAUACGUUCCCGGGUCUUGUACACACCGCCCGUCACACCAUGGGAGCGGGUUUUACCAGAAGUAGGUAGCUUAACCGCAAGGAGGGCGCUUACCACGGUAGGAUUCGUGACUGGGGUGAAGUCGUAACAAGGUAACC